CCCUACGGGGUGCAGCAGGCAAAAGAACGCCCAAGAAGAACAUCAGCGCCAUGAUGAUCCCCUAUGGCGAUGUCUAUGUGGCACAGAUAGCUUUUGGCGCAAACCCCGCUCAAGCAGUGAAAGCCUUCUGUGAAGCGGAGGAAUUUGAUGGUCCUUCACUGAUUGUUGCGUAUGCGACAUGUAUAGGCCAUGGAAUAGAAGAUAUGUCAAAGGCUGUUGACUAUCAGCGAAAAGCAGUUGCCGCCGGCCAUUGGCCCUUGUUCCGCUACAAUCCAAAACGUGAGGCUGAAGGGAAGAAUCCCCUGGUUAUUGACAGCAAUGAUCCAACGAUUCCAUGUACCGAGUACGCAAACAUGGAAAAUCGUUUUCAAUCGCUCACGAGAGGGAAUCCGGAAGUCGCAAAGGAAUUGGCGGGGGAGC
Molecule: ribosomal RNA, 420 nt
Filed under: uncultured prokaryote
Description: partial 16S ribosomal RNA
Source: RNAcentral